CUUGAUUAAUGAUUCGCACUGUUCGCCUACUCGGUCUACUACUACUCAACGCAUCUCUGCGCGGUAGACUGUUGGGCGGCAUUCAGCGUUAAGUUGAAUCAAGUCACAAGAGAAAACGAAACCCGCGCACUGCGCGGGUUUUUUU
This 145-nucleotide small RNA is filed under the name Atlantibacter hermannii. RNAcentral's name for it is "Leucine operon leader". It matches the Rfam family "Leucine operon leader". Rfam says of the family: At least 6 amino acid operons are known to be regulated by attenuation. The record is from RNAcentral. Lineage: Bacteria; Pseudomonadati; Pseudomonadota; Gammaproteobacteria; Enterobacterales; Enterobacteriaceae.